AGACAGGGGGCAGACUUCUCUUUGGUGUUUCUUCUUAUAUGGGCACUAAUUCCAUCAUGAGGGCCCCAUCCUCAUGACCUCAUCUAAACCUAAUU
Non-coding RNA from Ceratotherium simum simum (southern white rhinoceros), 95 nucleotides. The record is from RefSeq and is a predicted model, not a curated record. Lineage: Eukaryota; Metazoa; Chordata; Mammalia; Perissodactyla; Rhinocerotidae.